GACGAACGCUGGCGGCGUGCUUAACACAUGCAAGUCGAACGGAAAGGCCCUGCUUUUGUGGGGUGCUCGAGUGGCGAACGGGUGAGUAACACGUGAGUAACCUGCCCUUGACUUUGGGAUAACUUCAGGAAACUGGGGCUAAUACCGGAUAGGAGCUCCUGCUGCAUGGGGGGGGUUGGAAAGUUUCGGCGGUUGGGGAUGGACUCGCGGCUUAUCAGCAUGUUGGUGGGGUAGUUGCUUACCAAGGCUUUGACGGGUAGCCGGCCUGGGAGGGUGACCGGCCACAUGGGGACUGAGAUACGGCCCAGACUGCUACGGGACGCAGCAGUGGGGAAUAUUGCACAGUGGGCGGAAGCCUGAUGCAGCAACGCUGCGUGCGGGAUGACGUCCUUCGGGUUGUAAACCGCUUUCGCCUGUGACGAAGCGUGAUUGACGGUAAUGGGUAAAGAAGCACCGGCUAACUACGUG
This 468-nucleotide ribosomal RNA is filed under the name uncultured bacterium. RNAcentral's name for it is "partial 16S ribosomal RNA". It matches the Rfam family "Bacterial small subunit ribosomal RNA", at positions 28 to 507 of the family's 1533-position model. The record is from RNAcentral.